UGGGGAAUUUUGGACAAUGGGGGAAACCCUGAUCCAGCCAUCCCGCGUGUGCGAUGAAGGCCUUCGGGUUGUAAAGCACUUUUGGCAGGAAAGAAACGUCAUGGGUUAAUACCCCGUGAAACUGACGGUACCUGCAGAAUAAGCACCGGCUAACUACGUGCCAGCAGCCGCGGUAAUACGUAGGGUGCAAGCGUUAAUCGGAAUUACUGGGCGUAAAGCGUGCGCAGGCGGUUCGGAAAGAAAGAUGUGAAAUCCCAGAGCUCAACUUUGGAACUGCAUUUUUAACUACCGGGCUAGAGUGUGUCAGAGGGAGGUGGAAUUCCGCGAGUAGCAGUGAAAUGCGUAGAUAUGCGGAGGAACACCGAUGGCGAAGGCAGCCUCCUGGGAUAACACUGACGCUCAUGCACGAAGGCGUGGGGAGCAAACAGG
RNAcentral lists this ribosomal RNA (429 nucleotides) under Acidobacteriota bacterium. RNAcentral's name for it is "Acidobacteria bacterium partial 16S ribosomal RNA". It matches the Rfam family "Bacterial small subunit ribosomal RNA", at positions 355 to 776 of the family's 1533-position model. Lineage: Bacteria; Pseudomonadati; Acidobacteriota. The record is from RNAcentral.